This 253-nucleotide ribosomal RNA is filed under the name uncultured bacterium. RNAcentral describes it as "partial 16S ribosomal RNA". It matches the Rfam family "Bacterial small subunit ribosomal RNA", at positions 524 to 776 of the family's 1533-position model. The record is from RNAcentral.
GACGGAGGAUGCAAGCGUUAUCCGGAAUCACUGGGCGUAAAGCGUCUGUAGGUGGUCAAAUAAGUCAACUGUUAAAUCUUGAGGCUCAACCUCAAAAUCGCAGUCGAAACUAUUAGACUAGAGUAUAGUAGGGGUAAAGGGAAUUUCCAGUGGAGCGGUGAAAUGCGUAGAGAUUGGAAAGAACACCGAUGGCGAAGGCACUUUACUGGGCUAUUACUAACACUCAGAGACGAAAGCUAGGGUAGCAAAUGGG